UGAGUACCGCCAUGUCUGUUGG
This 22-nucleotide microRNA is filed under the name Callithrix jacchus (white-tufted-ear marmoset). RNAcentral's name for it is "cja-miR-1911". The record is from miRBase by way of RNAcentral. RNAcentral also lists the same sequence under 1 other name. Lineage: Eukaryota; Metazoa; Chordata; Mammalia; Primates; Cebidae.